GCAGGAGGAGAUGUUGCGCUGCAGUUCGGAGAGAGAUGCAUUAAGGGGCAACGAGCGAGCCCUUGGCAUUCCCAGACAUCCCUGCAUCAGCAGAAAUCUGCCACAAGACGAGAUGACGGGCAGGAUGUGCUCCGGCGCAGGACGGACUUGAACCGAAUCAAACUGCAGGAAGCACCAACAUCUGCUUUAACCAUGGCUUCACUGAGGUUGCUUGACCCAAAAACUGACCUGACCACAUAGAAAAUGUACAGAGAAGACGAGAGACACCAGAGCCAACGAUAAAGACAAACUGAAGUCUUUAUCAGCUGGGCUUCCUGAACGUGUCAGCAGAGCCACAGACUGACCACCUCCACGUUGCACUGCAUCGAAACAGGUGGUCAUGCUUAUCAGCAGGCUGAUAUUUCAGUAUUAAUAAUGUUUUUAUUUUUGCUAUGUAAUGUAUUUGGGCUAUGUGAUAUUCUUAUUUGCUGAGAAAGCCACUUUGGGAGGUUUUGUAAAUUAUAAGUCAUAAUUAUCAGAAUGAAGAGAAAUUUGUCGCUUCUUGUAAUUAAUCAAUGUGAGUUUCACUUUCUGUAUUGAAUUACUGAAGUAAAUGAACCUUUUAUAAUGUAUUCAAAUGGAUCUGUAUGUCAGGUUCUUGUUCAGACUGCGAUGCACCAGUAGAAAUAAUAAAACUGGAGUCAUGAUGAUAUCUUACUCACAAUAAUUCCUUUAAAAAAAGAAAAAGAAAACAUGAGAUACAUUCGGAUCUGUGUUUAAAUUAGAAAAAUAUAUGUCUUUUAUUACAUUUAAAAAGUUACAGUGAAUGCAUGCCAUGCAUGUUGGCACAAUACGGCUCCAGGAGAUUUUUGUUUAAAGCUGGUUGCAAAACAACAACAAAAACCUACAAAAAAAAGAAAUAAAAAAAAAUCAAGGUACACAUUGCAUUACAAGCAUAAGAAAGUGACAUUUGAAUAUUACAAAAUUAGAAUGUAUAUACAUUAGAAUUUUCAUAUAAAUUAAUUUACAAUGCCAAAACAAAAUAGUGUUACUUUACACAAAUAAUGCACAUGACGUUUAUGACAACUGACAGGAGCUUUUUUUUUCCAGGAUCGUCCACUUUAAAGUCCCUGCAGUGCACAAAAGUUCAAAUAAAAAAAUUAAAUCCAUGACAUUUCAAAGAGAAUGCCAGACGUAAGUCUUGUGACUGAAGGGGGAAAAAAGCUUCAUGUAGUCUUCUGUCUCCUGCAAAUAAGCAAAAGUUUAUUCAAUUAACUUUGCAUAAAUGACAGAUCAUUUCUAGAUCAAUGCGGAUCGUCUCUAACAGUCAGUCAACGCUUCAACAGUGCAAAGAUGUUCAAGAAUUUGUUCUGCUAUUUGCAGAUGCAUCAAUCGGCCACACAGUGGCGCUAAAGUACCACUUAUAGGAUCAGCACUGGUCGGGUUACGGCUGCGCACUGCAAGAUCUCUUUAGCAAUAUUCAUAAAAUAUUGGGAAAUAUCAGUGAAACUCAUCACUGAUUAUACAUACAUAAAAAAGUCAACCUUUCAAAAAAUAAAGUUGCAAUUUUUCUGAAAUUGUGGCAUUUGACAGACAAGAUAUUGAAAGUUAAUUUGAUUAACGAUAAUCUGUAUUCUUUUGUUUUCUUUGAUUAUAAAUGUUGGUGUAACACAGGUCAGUGAAUCUCGUCAGGAUUGCAAGCAUUAAUUACUUUCAUGUUACUUUCGUGAUUCUGUAAUUGAUAAACUAAUCUACUGUUUAUUUUUGGAUAAAUAUGUCCAUGUGGCUAGUAGUAGAGGGGUUGCAACUCUUUUAUGUUGUCACCCAAAUGCAUAAAAAGUUUGGAAAACACUUUAAAAUAAAAAAUAAUAAAUUACGUAAAUAAUACAUAUUCUUGGGCUGGGUGAAUUAGAUGUGAUGAUCGUGCUUCAAAAACGUUGUCAGAAGAAUUUUAACACUUUCACACCAUCCUAAAGUUAGAAGCCUUUGAUGCUGCACAGGCGAACGCGUCACAUGUGGGAGAGUGAUGAUGCUGGAAGACGUGCAGGGGAAAACGACAUACUGUAACCUGCAAGGGAGCUGCAGUCCCAUGCAGGCCCCAAACCAAUAAGCUGUGAACUCUUCAAUGCCAGCGCUAGGACACAACACUGGCAUUGUAGAGUGUGUGUGUCUGUGUGUGGGUGUGUGUGGUACCAGAUUUUCAUAUCCUUAUGGGAACAUAUUUCUGUCUACAAUUUGGGGUUAUAGGGACCAUUGCUCCUUGUGGGGACAUUUUCUUGGUCCCCAGGAGGCAAAUUGUUGUUUUUGGGUCAGUGGUUAGGUCUGUGAUGGGUAGGGUUAGGAUUAUGAUAAGGGUCAGGCUCUAGAAAUUAAUGGAAGUCAAUGUGAAGUCCCCACAAGUGAUAAAUACACAACUGGGGGAAAAACUAUCUUUGUUAAAGGACAGAAUUAAGCCGAAAAUUACUCACAAACAUGGAACGACAGAUGGGCAAACACACCCCCACACACAAACACACGCAAAGAUAGUUUUUGCCUAACUUUCAGCAACGGAUAAUAACUUCUAUCAGUUUUAGCUAGCAGUAAUCCAUUUUUUAUUAGUUUAUUUUCUGCUUUUACUUUUUCCCCAACUAGUCUGGGUCUCAUAAUUUGGUUUCAUCAACAUUCUUUUCCUUUUUUUUUUCUUUUCAUGUUAAUAUUUGACGCUGCAGUCUCGAGGAAGGACGCCCACCCUAAAGCCUUGCCCCACCCUGAAAACUUUCUGAACGUCAUUCUAACGCCUUAAAAUGGCCUGCCUGAUACUUAACACCGUAAAAUGACACCAGAAAAGCUUAAAGGCACAGACAUGACACGCGCUAUGUGCCAAAAAUGGCACGCUUAUUUAUAUGCGCUGUCAUGAUGUCAUGUAGUUUUUCUAACAAUAACCCCACUGUGUGGGAAAAGGGGAGAAGUUACUCAAGCGAGAACGGGUGUGUUUUUAAAAAAAACUCGAGUACAAUCAUUUUAAAUGCAGAAUGUGAGGUGUGAGGUUGAAGAAUCGCCACAUUUAAAAAUUAAGUUGGUCUCUUCUGGUCAGUCAAGCUUUUAUGCAUAAGGGAGAAAAACACAACAUUCUGAGUCGCAAUACUUGCUUUUGUGUUUAUGUAUUUAUUUAUCUAUUUAUUUAAACCAGUAUUCUACUUUUAUUUUUUAAAAGUACUUCUUUCUAAAUCUCUUUAACUCAUUCAUGGCCCCGCCCUUAAAUCACAAAUAUUUAGGCCAAAAAUUACAAUUACAGUAAUUAUUGUUACUUUUUUUUUUUUUCAAAAUCAUGGAGAUGCACCAAUAAAAGGGUGUGGUUUCACAUCUGCAAUAUGCUUCAAAACUUUAAUUUUUUUGUUAUAUAUUUGUAAUUGACAACAUGCACUAGUAGGCUGUCUAAAAAAUAUUGAGGAUGUCAGAAGGUAAAAUAAUCUGGUCAACAAUCGCAUGCAGAUUACCGCCUCUGAACCUGGAAGCAGAUGUGCUAAGGCAGCAGAAGGACAUGCUACGCUUGUUUCCUGUCAGCUGUCAACACGGUAACCGAGGCAACAGUUUCCACAUGCUCAGGACAAUGGGAAAACAACAGAUUGGAGAAACAUUGCCUGGUCUGGUUUCGGCUGCAGCAAUCAAGGCGAUUGGGUCAGAAUUUGGCAUAAACAGCACGAAAGUAACUCUCCAUAAUGCCUUAGGUCAGCGGUUCGGGCUGCUGCUGGUGGCAAAAUGUUGUGGCCAAUAUUUUCAGGGCACCCUGAAAAUACGCUAUUAGUACAAACUGAGAAUAAUUUAAAGGCCACAGUCUACCUCAGUAUUAUUACGGAGUUCACUGUGUAUCCACUGGCCUCCAGAUACACCAGGUAACAUCUCUGAGAUGUCCAGCUGCAAAAUCUGCAGCCACUCAUGGAUGUCCUCAUAUCAAUAAGGACCAAAAUCUAUGAGGAAUGUUUUCAACAUCUUGUUGAAUCUCUACCA
This is a long non-coding RNA of Xiphophorus couchianus (Monterrey platyfish), 3966 nucleotides long. RefSeq lists it as uncharacterized. Lineage: Eukaryota; Metazoa; Chordata; Actinopteri; Cyprinodontiformes; Poeciliidae. The transcript has 2 exons. The record is from RefSeq and is a predicted model, not a curated record.